This 468-nucleotide ribosomal RNA is filed under the name uncultured bacterium. Its description in RNAcentral is "partial 16S ribosomal RNA". It matches the Rfam family "Bacterial small subunit ribosomal RNA", at positions 28 to 507 of the family's 1533-position model. The record is from RNAcentral.
GACGAACGCUGGCGGCGUGCUUAACACAUGCAAGUCGAACGGAAAGGCCCUGCUUUUGUGGGGUGCUCGAGUGGCGAACGCGUGAGUAACACGUGAGUAACCUGCCCUUGUCUUUGGGAUAACUUCAGGAAACUGGGGAUCAUACCCGAUAGGAGCACCUGCUGCACGGUGGGGGUUGGAAAGUUUCGGCGGUUGGGGAUGGACUCGCGGCUUAUCAGCUUGUUGGUGGGGUAGUGGCUUACCAAGGCUUUGACGGGUAGCCGGCCUUAGAGGGGGAACGGCGACAAUGGGACUAAGAUACGGCGCAGAAGGGUACGGUAGGCAGCAGGGGGGAAUAUUGCGCAGUGGGCGGGAGCCUGUGGCAGCGACGCCGCGUGCGUGAUGACGGCCUACUGGUUGUGAACCGCUGUCGCCGGAGACGAGGCGUGAGUGACGGUAAUGGGUAAAGAAGCAACGGCUAACUACGUG